This is a long non-coding RNA of Paramacrobiotus metropolitanus, 865 nucleotides long. RefSeq lists it as uncharacterized. The record is from RefSeq and is a predicted model, not a curated record. The transcript is spliced from 4 exons. NCBI's taxonomy places the organism in Eukaryota, Metazoa, Tardigrada, Eutardigrada, Parachela, Macrobiotidae.
CGACAGCAUACGAUGCCGUAAGAAAACCAUGUUGAUUUCAGUGCAAGUGGUAUAUAUAUUAAUUUUUGCUCUUUUCUGGGUCGGGGAUGUGGGGCACACUCAAAAGCAAGCAAGAUAAACAACUGAUUGUGCUGUAAUGCUCACCAAAUUAAAAAACGACUACGGAAUCAACGAUAUAGCCGACAUAUUGCACUGCACUGUCUCUUUCACAUCGUCCGAUGUCGAAUUGGGAUUGCACAUGUUUUCGGUCUUCAGGUCAAUAUUGAAGGAAUUAGCGGGCGCUGCAAGCGUUCAAAUUGGAAUACCGAAUAACCAGUUCUCGUUCUCCACAUCCCGGCAUAUGCGACGGAUCCCGGGCAAUGAAACCACAUACCGUAUAAGAGCAAGUGGGUGCGAUCGGGUAUGUGCAGUUCGAAGGUGUUGCGGUUGCCGGUGGAACGCGGCUCCGCCGUACCCAAGACGUAACCGAAUUCCGUACGUAUGUUCUCAUUCAUGCCGGAUUUUGGCGAUGAACUGGAAGAAGUGUUCGAGGACGAACUGGAUGCCGAUCCAGCGACAUCAACGGCUUUGCCAGAUCGCGAAACGGAUGACUGGGACUGCGCUGGCUGAUUGCCGACUGUUGAAAAUAGAAAGUUAUUUCCUGAUAAAAUGUGUUCAUCACAGAAAGUUUUUACCUUAAAAUGUAAUGUUAUACAGAAUAAAUUUGCAAAAAAUGUAUUGUCGCUUCCUUGCCAACUCUCGAAGGAAAACGAAUAACAGUAACCCUAAAUUUUUUUUACAGCACUUAAUUCUUAUGUUUGCUAAAAAGUUUUUAAUGGUGCCUUUUAUUUUACAUAAAGAUGAACAACGUGUUACUGUACCUGAA